This 253-nucleotide ribosomal RNA is filed under the name uncultured bacterium. Its description in RNAcentral is "partial 16S ribosomal RNA". It matches the Rfam family "Bacterial small subunit ribosomal RNA", at positions 524 to 776 of the family's 1533-position model. The record is from RNAcentral.
UACGUAGGGUGCGAGCGUUGUCCGGAAUUAUUGGGCGUAAAGGGCUCGUAGGCGGUUUGUCGCGUCGGGAGUGAAAACUCAGGGCUUAACCCUGAGCCUGCUUCCGAUACGGGCAGACUAGGGGUAUGCAGGGGAGAACGGAAUUCCUGGUGUAGCGGUGAAAUGCGCAGAUAUCAGGAGGAACACCGGUGGCGAAGGCGGUUCUCUGGGCAUUCCCUGACGCUGAGGCGCGAAAGCGUGGGGAGCAAACGGG